AGAAGUAAAAGUCGUAACAAGGUCUCCGUAGGUGAACCUGCGGAGGGAUCAUUACAGAGUUCAUGCCCUACCGGGUAGAUCUCCCACCCUAUGUUAUUAUUACUUUGUUGCUUUGGCGGGCUGUUAGGCUCCGGCCCGACUACCGGCCCCGGCUGGUAAGCGCCCGCCAGAGGACCCAGAACCCUGAAUAUUAGUGUCGUCUGAGUACUAUAUAAUAGUUAAAACUUUCAACAACGGAUCUCUUGGUUCUG
This 251-nucleotide unclassified non-coding RNA is filed under the name plant metagenome. Its description in RNAcentral is "partial contains small subunit ribosomal RNA, internal transcribed spacer 1, and 5.8S ribosomal RNA". The stretch from base 1 to 54 matches the Rfam family "Eukaryotic small subunit ribosomal RNA", at positions 1778 to 1831 of the family's 1831-position model. The record is from RNAcentral.